This 245-nucleotide ribosomal RNA is filed under the name uncultured bacterium. RNAcentral describes it as "partial 16S ribosomal RNA". It matches the Rfam family "Bacterial small subunit ribosomal RNA", at positions 524 to 768 of the family's 1533-position model. The record is from RNAcentral.
UACGGAGGUGGCAAGCGUUGUUCGGAAUUACUGGGCGUAAAGGGCGCGUAGGCGGCUUGGCAAGUCGGAUGUGAAAUCCCCGGGCUUAACUCGGGAAUUGCAUCCGAAACUGCUUUGCUUGAGUCCUGGAGGGGGUAGUGGAAUUCCCAGUGUAGCGGUGAAAUGCGUAGAUAUUGGGAGGAACACCGGUGGCGAAGGCGGCUACCUGGACAGUGACUGACGCUGAUGCGCGAAAGCUAGGGGAG